CCUACGGGUGGCAGCAGUGGGGAAUAUUGCACAAUGGGCGCAAGCCUGAUGCAGCGACGCCGCGUGGGGGAUGAAGGCCUUCGGGUUGUAAACUCCUUUCGCUAGGGACGAAGCUUUUUGUGACGGUACCUAGAUAAGAAGCACCGGCUAACUACGUGCCAGCAGCCGCGGUAAUACGUAGGGUGCGAGCGUUGUCCGGGAUUACUGGGGGUAAAGGGGUGGGAGGUGGUUUGUCGGGGCGUCGGUGAAAUUCUGGGGGCUAACUCCGGGCGUGGAGGCGAUACCUGCAUAGCUGGAGUACUGUAGGGGUAACUGGAAUUCCUGGUGUAGCGGUGAAAUGCGCAGAUAUCAGGAGGAACACCGAUGGCGAAGGCAGGUUACUGGGCAGUUACUGACGCUGAGGAGCGAAAGCAUGGGUAGCGAACAGGAUUAGAUACCCGGGUAGUC
This 447-nucleotide ribosomal RNA is filed under the name uncultured Corynebacterium sp. RNAcentral describes it as "bacterial SSU rRNA". It matches the Rfam family "Bacterial small subunit ribosomal RNA", at positions 338 to 795 of the family's 1533-position model. The record is from RNAcentral. Lineage: Bacteria; Bacillati; Actinomycetota; Actinomycetes; Mycobacteriales; Corynebacteriaceae.